CCUACGGGGGGCAGCAGUAGGGAAUCUUCCGCAAUGGACGAAAGUCUGACGGAGCAACGCCGCGUGAGCGAAGAAGGUCCUCGGAUCGUAAAGCUCUGUUGUUAGGGAAGAACAAGUACGGGAGGAAAUGACCGUACCUUGACGGUACCUGACGAGGAAGCCACGGCUAACUACGUGCCAGCAGCCGCGGUAAUACGUAGGUGGCAAGCGUAGUCCGGAAUUAUUGGGCGUAAAGCGCGCGCGGGCGGGCUUUUAGGUCUGAUGUGAAAUCUUGCGGCUCAACCGCAAGCGGUCAUGGGAAAGUGGGCGACUUGAGUGCAGAUGAGGAAAGCGGAAUUCCACGUGUAGCGGUGAAAUGCGUAGAGGGGUGGAGGAACACCAGUGGCGAAGGCGGCUUUCUAGUCUGUAACUGACGCUGGGGCGCGAAAGCGUGGGGAGCAAACAGGAUUAGGUGCCCUAGUAGUC
Molecule: ribosomal RNA, 465 nt
Filed under: uncultured bacterium
Lineage: Bacteria
Description: bacterial SSU rRNA
Rfam family: Bacterial small subunit ribosomal RNA
Source: RNAcentral